AACAUAUAUACAUGUGUAUCUAUAGGGGUGUUAAAAUGGGUAACCCAACUCAACUCAACUCAUAAUCAAAUGAGUUUAGGGUUAAAUGAAUGGGUUGACCCAACUCAUUUUGUUAAAUGGGUUGGGUCAACCCAUAACUCAUUUAAUUUGAUGGGUUGAGUUGUUAAAUAGAUUAACCCAUUUAAGUAAUAAUUUAAUUAAUUAUUAUUAUAAAAUAAUAAUAAAUAAUUAUCAUUAUUAAUAAUUAUUAAUUCAUUAUCAUCAAACUUAGAAUAUUUACGGAUUCCACUUUUUACGGGUUUACGUUUUCGGCGAGAAAAUUAUGGGUUUAGGUUUUUUGGCGGGAAAAUCACGAGUUAACGUUUUUGGCGGGAAAAUUACAAGUUUACAUUUUCGGCGGGAAAAUCACGGGUUUACGUUUUUGGCGGGAAAAUCACGGGUUUACGUUUUUGGCGGGAAAAUCAUGGGUUUAUGUUUUUUGGCGGGAAAAUCACGAGUUUACGUUUUUGGCGGGAAAAUUACAAUAUUACGUUUUUGGCGGAAAAAUUACGGGUUUUCGUUUUUGGCGGGAAAAUCACAGGUUUACAUUUUUUGGCGGGAAAAUUACGGAUUUACGUUUUUGGCGGGAAAAUUACGGACUUACGUUUUUGGCGGGACAAUCACGGGUUUUCGUUUUAUGCGGAAAAUUCACGGAUUUACGUUUUUGGCGGGAAAAUCACGAGUUUAUGUUUUUUGUUGAGAAAAUCAUGAGUUUUCGUUUUUGGCUGGAAAAUCACGGGUUUAUGUUUUUGGCGGGAAAAUCACGGGUUUAUGUUUUUUGGUGGGAAAUCACGGGUUUACUUUUUCUCAAUUUCAUCGCUUGUAUAUUUAAGAAAUUUGGAAA
This 883-nucleotide small RNA is filed under the name Arabidopsis thaliana (thale cress). RNAcentral describes it as "ATSL043020". Lineage: Eukaryota; Viridiplantae; Streptophyta; Magnoliopsida; Brassicales; Brassicaceae. The record is from RNAcentral.